UAAAGGCUCUUGCAUGUGCAAUAAAGGCUCUUGCAUGUGCAAUAAAGGUUGCAACUGAGAUUUAUUUGACUUUGUUGUGAGGAAAAAAUAAAUAAAGGGGGACAGAUCUAGGUUGCUACAAUAAAGGUUACAGUUGGGAUUUAUUUGACUUUGUUGUGAGGGAAAAAUAAAUAAAGGGAAAGAUCUAGGUUGUUGCAAUAAAGGUUGCAACUGGGAUUUAUUUGAUUUUGUUGUGAGGAAAAAAUGAAUAAAGGGAAAGAUCUAGAGAAGAAAAAUAAUGUUGUUAAAGGCUUGAAACUAUGAGAAGCUGGACACUGAAAAAAGUGAAAAACAGAGAGAGAGAAGAUGAGAAGAGUGAAAAACAGAGAGAGAAGAGGUGAUGAGAAGAGUGCGACUGUGUGAGACUAAGAGAUGGUGAGUGACAGAGAGAAAAAAACCUACUUAUUGAGAAUCGAGAUGGAAGAUGCAGUUCUUCACAUUGUGUUGCUGCCGAAGGAGAACUUCCGUAGAGAUGAAGUCGUCAGAGUGAGAAAGAGAAGUAGCACUUCAGUGUUUUUGCCCAAGAAGAACCCGAUCUUCAGGUUGUCGAAGAAGAAGUUGAUCUUCAGGUUGCUGAAGCCACCUCAACAAACCAAAGGCUCAUACUUUAAUGAGCAAGGCGUGAAAGACGUACGUAGGGCACGCCUUUGAAGCGCUUCAGGUGAAAAGGUGUUCGCCUUUUGUGUUCAACGUUGUUGUGCCAACGCCUUAAGGAGUUUUUUGGAUGCCUCACCUUCGAGCGCGUCUCCAAGCGCGCCUCAAGAGCGCCUUUCAAAACACUGGUAAAAAAUAGGUUACUUUUCAAGUUAAAAAAUGGAAGAUGUUAGUUUUAUAAAUUUGAGAUCUUUUCAUCCCUUCCACUA
This is a long non-coding RNA of Vitis vinifera (wine grape), 902 nucleotides long. RefSeq lists it as uncharacterized. The transcript has 2 exons. The record is from RefSeq and is a predicted model, not a curated record. Lineage: Eukaryota; Viridiplantae; Streptophyta; Magnoliopsida; Vitales; Vitaceae.